This 233-nucleotide ribosomal RNA is filed under the name uncultured bacterium. Its description in RNAcentral is "partial 16S ribosomal RNA". It matches the Rfam family "Bacterial small subunit ribosomal RNA", at positions 544 to 776 of the family's 1533-position model. The record is from RNAcentral.
UCCGGAAUUAUUGGGCGUAAAGAGCUCGUAGGCGGUCUGUCGCGUCGGCUGUGAAAACCCGGGGCUCAACCCCGGGCCUGCAGUCGAUACGGGCAGACUAGAGUGCGGUAGGGGAGACUGGAAUUCCUGGUGUAGCGGUGAAAUGCGCAGAUAUCAGGAGGAACACCGGUGGCGAAGGCAGGUCUCUGGGCAUUAACUGACGCUGAGGAGCGAAAGCGUGGGGAGCGAACAGG